RNAcentral lists this long non-coding RNA (3006 nucleotides) under Drosophila guanche. Lineage: Eukaryota; Metazoa; Arthropoda; Insecta; Diptera; Drosophilidae. The record is from RNAcentral.
CUAGGAGUUUAGUCUAUGUUCUGUCCGUUUCUUUUCAUUAGUGUUUCAUAAACCGACUUGUUCAUCGCACGCGAAUUUUUAACUUUAACUUUAUGUAUAUAGACGAGCGGAUAGAGCAGCGGAUUCAUACCGGAACAAGCGCUGCCCCGCAGAAGCUCAUCGCCUUUCACCAGCUCAAUAACGUUUUAUACUACAGUACAUGUAUACAUACAAUUAUUUUGGCGCCCAACGUGGGGCCAGAAUUUCGGUGGCCUCUUCGCUUAUUUCUUAAACUCAGACCAGUACACUAUUGAACAUUUCAGUUUAUUUAAUUUCGUUGUUAAUUUCUUUCCGUAAAUGCUUGUGCACAGAUUGUGGAUCUGUUGUAAAUUUCAAUAUAAAUACACAGCCCUGUCUGAAGUCAAUUAGCAUCCCAAAGCAUGCAUUUCUUAGCGUACUGGAUAAAUAAAAGCUUAAAAACUGCCUUUGUUCCGUUGCUCAGAUACAUUUCGCAUGCUUUUACCUUGUUCGUUUCCUAUAGUUUGUAGAUAUUCGCUGGAUACGAUAAAUUGGCGCCAGGCUAUUAUCGUCCGCUUAAGUAUUUUUUCUUAGAAUCCUUUGUAUCUGGAUUAGUAAUCGGCUGUAUUACCUACCUAUUCUCGAUGAACGUUAGCAUAGACCCUCAAAACUAUAUUAUCUUCAUUUAAUUUUGACGCUUUGAAUUUUAAAAAUUUUUUUUUUGUAUAAUUAUUUACAGUUUUGUCUUUGAAAAAUAUAUAUAUAAAAUGAUUUCGAUAGGAGAGACUGAGGAGAACGCUGUAGCAAAAAAAUGUGCUGUUACCUGCUUAAUUUUGUGCCGGUCCGGUGGCCCAAGAAUCGGAUGCAUUAAGAGUUAGUUGUGGACACACUUUUCACAAUGUGAGAUACAACAAAAUUUAAUACAAAGAUUAAAAAUAAGAAAGCCCAAUCUGAAAACGAAACCUAGAGGAACCUUCCGCGGAAAAACCGACGGCAUCAGGCACCACUACUCGGGCACAAUCCAAAAGAGACACUGCUGCUUCAUCUCCUGUGUAGAUUCACCAACAAUCGAGAACUUUCAGCAAUUGAUUGCAAAUGGCUGCCGCCGCGGUCCGUCAGUCGGAGUUACUGGCACAAGCCACCGCUCGACAGACCGAUUUGAUGACCCAAGCCUUACAGACAGGGUUCGAGAGAUUCUCUCCUACUGGGUAUGUUCAAUGCUCCAGUCCAACUCCACCACCAACGUUUAGACAGCAAACUGAUCCUGGAACUCCCAGCAAUCAAAGUUCUGCUACCUUGUUUCCAUCGAAUGGUCAUGGUCUACCGCCGGAAAAUAUAAAUACUCCUAUUGGUUUGGACCUGCGCCCAGAUCGAAUUAGCCAAAUUAUUUUUAAUUGGAAACUUCGAUUUUCGGGUAAAUCUGUUUUAGGCGUCGAAGAUUUUAUCUAUCGGGCCGAAGCAUUGACAUCCCAAACGCUGCACGGCAAUUUCGAAUUGCUUCCGCGGUAUGCCAGCAACCUUUUUGAAGGAACCGCAAGCGAAUGGUUUUGGCGGUACCACAAAAGUGUACCUAUGGUACAAUGGGAGGGCCUUUGCCAAGCUCUUAAAAGUCAAUUCAAGGACGAACGAACCGAUCUGCAGAUAAGAGCGAUCAUCGAUAGACGCAGACAAAAGGAUGGAGAAAGCUUUGACGCAUUCUACUAGUCAAUCAUUUGUCUUGCGGAUAAGCUCUCUAUUCCCAUGUCGGAAUGAUCUCUCUUAGAGGCGCUUAGGUCUAAUUUGCGCCUGGAUAUCCAGCAUGAACUCCUAUAUGAGGAAAUAGCCAGCAUAUCAAAACUUCGGCAUUUUGUCAAAACUCGAGUGAUCUUCCUACAAACGUUAGGAAAUCACGCUUUACCAAAAUCUCGUCCAGUGCCGAUGCCGAGCCGAUCUGUCAAUGCAGUUUGUAACGGACACGGGAAGUGUCGUCUCGUCAGCACUCUCUGUCUACUAAAAGUUUGCCGGCUAGGCUCAGGGAAAAUGGGGUGGGUGGUGUGCUGCGAAAACGAACUCCGUCACCUAACAAAAUCGUAGACAGAUUUACGGGAACUGGGAUCGGAAUUACAAACCCGGACGGAACUUAAGGUCCACUACCUACUGUGAAGAGCAAGGUGGAUGUGCUCUUCCCUCUUGACCCACCCUCCAUGUAGAAUAACAUAAGAAUAUGCCAUUAUGGUUCUACCCAAAACCUGCCGCUGCUGCCUAUGUGCCUUAGGAACCCCUCCCAAAAAUCAGAUUAGAAAUUCAUGUUAAAUCGUUAUAAUUUUACUUUGACUUGUAUGACUUCAGGUUGUUUGUAACCCCCAUUAUUUCUACCCUAACCCUUAAAACUAUUUUUACUGCAUGUGUAUUAUAUAUGUGGGACUAAUUUAAUACAUAGGAAUUCAAGAGAAUGAUCAAAUAUGAAUAAAAAUAAUAUAAUCAAAAUAUAAAGUAAGAAUUAAUUAAUUAAAUGAAUUAAAUGGCAUAAUUGUAGUGAUUAUCGUUAAUAAUAAUCCAUUUUAUUUAUGGUUAAGCAUGCAUGUCUCACUGUGUAGACGCUAUUCUCCUGACCCGGAGUGUAUGUGUGUAUAUGUGUGUCUACUUACAGACUUUUAAACAGCUGUUGGUGUCGUUGGGCCCAAUUUCACGUUCUAACUGUUAAAGAAAUGUAGAAAUAUGCAAAAUAACAAGAAGCGUUAUGAAGAGGUAUUUUACCAAUACCCUUCCAUGGACACAAUGAGACCGAUGAUGCACCCUUUAGAAUCUAUUAUUAACUACGCAUAAAUUUCAUGUUUUUCUUCUUCUAUUCUAAGUUAAUGUCUAGGAAUAUUUAAUAUUAUUGAACAAUUUUCUUUUCUAUUUUUUUUUCUUCUAUCCAUAAUUUUUCAUUAAGUUUUCUUUUCUAGAUUUUUGUGAUUCACUUUUCUUCCCUUAAGUGGCUUUUAGAAUGUCGGCAUCGAACAAUUUUAAUAACCUGAGAGAAGGAGA